AUUUUUUUUUAAUUAUUAUUUUUAGAUAUAUAAUGUAAAAUAAAUUCGGAUUCAGGUCCAGCUCGGGUUCGGAUAGGGUAGUCAAAAUUUAUAUCUGAAUCCAUAUACGUUGGAUUUUUAUUUUUGAUAUCUAUAUUUAAAAUCAUAUCCNCCAUUUAGUAUCGAAUAUAUCCGUUUCAUUCGGAUUCGGAUUCGGAUAAAAUUUUGGGUAUCCAUACCCAUUGACAUCCCUAGUGGCCCGAAUCCAACUAAGUCUGGAAAAGUCAAUUCAAACUCGUGGGCAGGGAUGUCAACGGAUCGAAUUUUUAAAAAUCCGAAUCCAAACCCAACUACAAACCUGAAAUCCGAACCUUAAUCAAAAUCCGACAGAUUUUAAAAAUCCACAUCAAAAUCCGAACUCAAGCAAAAAUUCGAAAUCCGAAUCCGAAUCCGAAAACUUGAACCCGAAAUUGUUAUUUCUCUUUACCAUAUUUCAAAAUAUAUUAUAUUAAAUCUAAAUUUUUAAAAUAUAAAUUCAAAUAUAACAGCAAAUAUUUAUAUACGUAUAUUAUAUAAUAGAAAUUUAAUUUGGAUACAGGCCAAAUAUAGAUAAAAUUUAUACCCGGAAUCCAAAUUUGUCAUAUUUUUAUUUUUAUUUGUUUUAUAUCUUUUUGAAAUUAAGUAAAUCCACUUUGUUGGGAUUCGG
RNAcentral lists this long non-coding RNA (685 nucleotides) under Ananas comosus (pineapple). RNAcentral's name for it is "long non-coding RNA (ACOM_LNC032350)". The record is from RNAcentral. Lineage: Eukaryota; Viridiplantae; Streptophyta; Magnoliopsida; Poales; Bromeliaceae.